RNAcentral lists this ribosomal RNA (440 nucleotides) under uncultured bacterium. RNAcentral describes it as "partial 16S ribosomal RNA". It matches the Rfam family "Bacterial small subunit ribosomal RNA", at positions 338 to 795 of the family's 1533-position model. The record is from RNAcentral.
CCUACGGGUGGCAGCAGUGGGGAAUAUUGCACAAUGGGGGAAACCCUGAUGCAGCGACGCCGCGUGAGUGAAGAAGUAUUUCGGUAUGUAAAGCUCUAUCCGCAGGGAAGAAAAUGACGGUACCUGAUUAAGAAGCCCCGGCUAACUACGUGCCAGCAGCCGCGGUAAUACGUAGGGGGCAAGCGUUAUCCGGAUUUACUGGGUGUAAAGGGAGCGUAGACGGCAGAACAAGUCUGGAGUGAAAUGCCGGGGCUUAACCCCGGAACUGCUUUGGAAACUGUGCAGCUUGAGUGCAGGAGAGGUAAGUGGAAUUCCGAGUGUAGCGGUGAAAUGCGUAGAUAUUAGGAGGAACACCAGUGGCGAAGGCGGAUUACUGGACUGUAACUGACGUUGAGGCGCGAAAGCGUGGGGAGCAAACAGGAUUAGAUACCCCUGUAGUC